CUCCUCUUGGUGUAGUUGGUUUAUCACGUUCGACUGUAAUAGCUUCACACAAUGCUAUCGAAAGGUCCCUAGUUCGAUUCUGGGAGGGGAGA
Non-coding RNA from Phyllosticta capitalensis, 92 nucleotides. NCBI's taxonomy places the organism in Eukaryota, Fungi, Ascomycota, Dothideomycetes, Botryosphaeriales, Phyllostictaceae. The record is from the annotation of a GenBank genome assembly.